Molecule: ribosomal RNA, 1566 nt
Filed under: Verrucomicrobiota bacterium
Lineage: Bacteria; Pseudomonadati; Verrucomicrobiota
Description: bacterial SSU rRNA
Rfam family: Bacterial small subunit ribosomal RNA
Source: RNAcentral
UUAUUUACGGAGAGUUUGAUUCUGGCUCAGAGCGAACGCUGGCGGCGUGGAUAAGACAUGCAAGUCGAACGGGAAUCAUCGGGUAGCAAUAUUCGGUGAUUCUAGUGGCGAAAGGGUGCGUAACACGUAGCUACCUACCUCGAAGCGGGGGAUAGCUCGGCGAAAGCCGAAUUAAUACCGCAUGUGGUCGAGAGACUAAAGUUGGGGAUCGCAAGACCUGACACUUCGAGAUGGGGCUGCGGCCUAUCAGCUAGUUGGCGGGGUAAUGGCCCACCAAGGCGAAGACGGGUAGCUGGUCUGAGAGGACGACCAGCCACACUGGAACUGAGACACGGUCCAGACACCUACGGGUGGCAGCAGUCGAGGAUUUUUCUCAAUGGGGGAAACCCUGAAGGAGCGACGCCGCGUGGGGGAUGAAGGUCUUCGGAUUGUAAACCCCUGUCAUCCGGGAGCAAAGCGCUCUACCUAACACGUGGAUCGUUGAUCGUACCGGAAGAGGAAGCCGUGGCUAACUCUGUGCCAGCAGCCGCGGUAAUACAGAGACGGCAAGCGUUGCUCGGAUUCAUUGGGCGUAAAGGGUGCGUAGGCGGUCGGGUAAGUCUGAUGUGAAAUCUCACAGCCUAACUGUGACUGGUCAUUGGAAACUGCCCGGCUCGAGGACUGGAGGGGAGACUGGAAUAGCUGGUGUAGCGGUGAAAUGCGUAGAGAUCAGCUAGAACACCGGUGGCGAAGGCGGGUCUCUGGACAGUUCCUGACGCUGAGGCACGAAAGCCAGGGGAGCAAACGGGAUUAGAUACCCCGGUAGUCCUGGCCCUAAACGGUGUUCACUUGGUGUGCGGGGAGUCGACCCCCUGCGUGCCGGAGCUAACGUGGUAAGUGAACCGCCUGGGAAGUACGGUCGCAAGAUUAAAACUCAAAGAAAUUGACGGGGGCCCGCACAAGCGGUGGAGCAUGUGGCUUAAUUCGAUGCAACGCGAAGAACCUUACCUGGCCUUGACAUGCUGGUGGUAGAACCCAGAAACGGGGACGACCUAUCGCAAGAUAGGAGCCAGCACAGGUGCUGCAUGGUUGUCGUCAGCUCGUGUCGUGAGAUGUUGGCUUAAGUGCCGCAACGAGCGCAACCCCUGUGCUUAGUUGCCCGGUCGCGAGACCGGGAUCUCUAAGCAGACUGCCUCGAUUCCAAUCGCGGAGGAAGGUGGGGAUGACGUCAAAUCAGUAUGGCCCUUACGGCCAGGGCUGCACACGUGCUACAAUGCCCGGUACAGAGGGACGCAAGACCGCGAGGUGGAGCAAAUCCCUGAAAACCGGGCCCAGUUCAGAUUGCAGGCUGCAACUCGCCUGCAUGAAGCCGGAAUCGCUAGUAAUGGCGUAUCAGCUACGACGCCGUGAAUACGUUCCCGGGCCUUGUACACACCGCCCGUCACAUCAUGGGAGCCGAUUGCACCCGAAGUCGCCGCGUCAACCGCAAGGAGACAGGCGCCGAAGGUAUGGUUGGUGACUGGGAUGAAGUCGUAACAAGGUAGCCGUAGGGGAACCUGCGGCUGGAUCACCUCCUUUCUAAGGAGA